Molecule: ribosomal RNA, 532 nt
Filed under: uncultured bacterium
Lineage: Bacteria
Description: partial 16S ribosomal RNA
Rfam family: Bacterial small subunit ribosomal RNA
Source: RNAcentral
AGUGAACGCUGGCGGUAGGCCUAACACAUGCAAGUCGAACGGCAGCACAGUAAGAGCUUGCUCUUACGGGUGGCGAGUGGCGGACGGGUGAGGAAUACAUCGGAAUCUACUUUUUCGUGGGGGAUAACGUAGGGAAACUUACGCUAAUACCGCAUACGACCUACGGGUGAAAGCAGGGGAUCUUCGGACCUUGCGCGAUUGAAUGAGCCGAUGUCGGAUUAGCUAGUUGGCGGGGUAAAGGCCCACCAAGGCGACGAUCCGUAGCUGGUCUGAGAGGAUGCACAGCUACGGGGGAUGGGAGCACCGUGCCGGACUUAGAGGGGAGGGUGUAGGGGGUAAUAGUGGACAAUGGGGCUAAGCCGAGUCCAGCAAUGCGGCGUGGGUGAAGAAGGCCUGCGGGUUGUAAAGCUUUUUUGUUGGGAAAGAAAAGCAGGAGGUUCCUACCACACUGUUCGGACGCUACCAAAAGACUACGCACCGGCUAACUGCGUGCCAGAAGCCGGUGUAAUAAUCGAAAGAGCACGCGUCUGAC